UUUCCUUGGGAAGGUGGUUUC
This 21-nucleotide microRNA is filed under the name Oryza sativa (Asian cultivated rice). RNAcentral describes it as "osa-miR2055". Lineage: Eukaryota; Viridiplantae; Streptophyta; Magnoliopsida; Poales; Poaceae. RNAcentral also lists the same sequence under 1 other name. The record is from miRBase by way of RNAcentral.